CGUGCUUACACAUGCAAGUCGAACGAACCUUCGGGUUAGUGGCGGACGGGUGAGUAACGCGUGAGAAUCUGCCCUCAGGAGGGGGAUAACGGUUGGAAACGACCGCUAAUACCCCAUAUGCCUACUGGUGAAAUGAAUUUCGCCUGAGGAUGAGCUCGCGUCUGAUUAGCUUGUUGGUGAGGUAAUGGCUCACCAAGGCUUCGAUCAGUACCUGGUCUGAGAGGAUGAUCAGCCACACUGGGACUGACACACGGCCCAGACUCCUACGGGAGGCAGCAGUGGGGAAUUUUCCGCAAUGGGCGAAAGCCUGACGGAGCAACGCCGCGUGAGGGACGAAGGCCUCUGGGCUGUAAACCUCUUUUCUCAAGGAAGAAGAUAUGACGGUACUUGAGGAAUAAGCCACGGCUAAUUCCGUGCCAGCAGCCGCGGUAAUACGGGAGUGGCAAGCGUUAUCCGGAAUUAUUGGGCGUAAAGUGUCCGCACGCGGCUUUUCAAGUCUGCUGUUAAAACGUGG
Molecule: ribosomal RNA, 514 nt
Filed under: uncultured bacterium
Lineage: Bacteria
Description: bacterial SSU rRNA
Rfam family: Bacterial small subunit ribosomal RNA
Source: RNAcentral